GAAUGCACUGGUGAGGGGGAGACCGACGUCUUUGAACAGUUUGGCAUUGACUGUCCUCCAUGGCAGUAUUAAGCAACCACUCUCCCCAAGACCCUAGGACACUGCCAUGGAGUAGGGAUGAGUCCCACCCAGAAUGGGAUCUGCCAGCCUUCACUCCUCUCUGCCUCUAGGAAUCUCGCCUCAUUCUUCUCACAGGUGAUUUUUCUCCCAUCUAAUUUAGGGCACCCAAAUGUCUUCCUUCCUUCCUUUCCUUCCUUCUUUCUUUUCUUUCUUUUCUUCUUUCUUUUUUCUUCUUUCUUUCUUUCUUUUUCUUUCUUUCUUUCUUUCAUCUCCAUCUCUUUCUUUCUUUCUCUCUCCCUCUUUCUUUCUCUCCCUCUUUCUUUCUCUCUCCCUCUUCCUUUCUUUCUUUCUCUCCCUUUCUUUCUUUCUCUCUCCAUCUCCCUCUCCCUCUUUCUCUUUCCCUCUUUCUUCCUUUCAUUCUUUCUCUUUCUUUCUCUUUAUUUUCUUUCUUUCUUUCUCCUUCCUUCCCUCCCUCCCUCCUUUCUCUCUCUCUCUCUUUCUUUCUUUCUCUCCCUCUUUCUUUCUUCCUCUUUCUUUCUUUCUCUCUCCUCUCCCUCUUUCUCUCUCCCUCUCCCUCUUUCUUUCUUCCUUUCAUUCUUUCUCUUUCUUUCUUUCUCUUUAUUUUCUUUCUCCUUCCUUCCUUCCCUCUCUCCCUCCUUUCUCUCUCUCUCUUUCUUUCUUUCUCUCCCUCUUUCUUUCUUUCUUACAUUCUUUUUCUUUCUUUCUUUCUUUCUUUUUCUUUCUUUCUUUCUUUCUUUCUUUCUUUCUUUCUUUCAUCUCCAUCUCUUCCUUUCUUUCUUUCUCUCCUUCUUUCUUUCUUUCUCUCUCCCUCUCCCUCUUUCUUUCUUCCUUUCACUCUUUCUCUUUCUUUCUUUCUCUCUUUCUCUCUUUCUUUCUUUCUUUCUUUCUUUCUUUCUUUCUUUUUCUUUCCUUCUUUCUUUCCUUCUUUCUUGUCUCUUUAGGACCUCACCUGUGGCAUAUGGAAGUUCCCAUGGUAGGGGUCCAAUCAGAACCAUAGCUGCCAACCUAUGCCACAGCCAUAGCAAUGCUAGAUCCUUAACUCACUGAGUGAGGCCAGGGAUCAAAUCCGCAUCCUCAUGGAUACUACUCAGG
Molecule: long non-coding RNA, 1173 nt
Filed under: Sus scrofa (pig)
Lineage: Eukaryota; Metazoa; Chordata; Mammalia; Artiodactyla; Suidae
Description: lncRNA (ENSSSCG00070026413.1)
Source: RNAcentral